AUACGGAGGGUGCAAGCGUUAAGCGGAAUUACUGGGCGUAAAGCGCUCGUAGGCGGUUGAUUUAGUCAGAUGUGAAAGCCCCGGGCUCAACCUGGGAACUGCAUUUGAAACUGGUCAACUGGAGUAUGGUAGAGGGGGGUAGAAUUUCUGGUGUAGCGGUGAAAUGCGUAGAUAUCAGAAGGAAUACCGAUGGCGAAGGCAGCCCCCUGGACCAAUACUGACGCUGAGGUACGAAAGCGUGGGGAGCAAACAGGAUUAGAAACCCCAGUAGUCC
This 274-nucleotide ribosomal RNA is filed under the name uncultured bacterium. Its description in RNAcentral is "partial 16S ribosomal RNA". It matches the Rfam family "Bacterial small subunit ribosomal RNA", at positions 523 to 796 of the family's 1533-position model. The record is from RNAcentral.